Molecule: long non-coding RNA, 615 nt
Organism: Olea europaea var. sylvestris
Lineage: Eukaryota; Viridiplantae; Streptophyta; Magnoliopsida; Lamiales; Oleaceae
Exons: 2
Source: RefSeq, a predicted model, not a curated record
AGUGAAAAGGUAAAUGAAAGAAAAACCAAAAAUUAGAAUUGUUUCCCUGAUUCUGAAAUAAACCCUAGAGAAAACCCACGUAAGUUUUUCCCUCUUUGCCUCCAAAACUUUUUCACCCAAUAAUUCCCUCUUUAAUUCUGUCGUUCCUCGCUAGUUGACUCCGCCCGGCGCCCUUCUGCCAAGUGCCGACUGCAACUCUUCUUCAACUCUUCUGCUCUUGACUGCUGGAGGAUGGUUCGAUUGGGAGAACGAAGUCGUUUGGUGCUUCUGGAACGGUGGAACCCAAGUUGGUGAAGUGGUUUUCAACACAUCAUUAACUGGAUUCAUUUAUCAUUUCUAGUCCACAGAUUGAAAUUGGAAAGAAGGUGGGAUCAGGCUCAUGGUCUCAAGGUCAUUGAUAGAAGUCCCGAGAGAAUUCUUGCAUUUGAUUCUUCCGUUUUUUGUGUAAUGGUCAGGUUAUCUUGGGUGUGUAAUUGAUAUCUGAAUGGAUCACUUUGUGCACAAUGGCUCAAUAAGGCUAUUAUGGGUGUAGGUGUCUUAACUAUAAUGAACCACGAAAAUUUUUAGUGUUUUUGAUUUUGAUUCCUCGAUCUACUUUUAUACUUCAUUACUUCA